UUUUUCUUACCACUGGAUACAGUAUUUUUUGUUGAUGAUGAUCUAGCUGCUAAUAUAUUCAUUUCAGCUUCUGUUUCAGAUUUAUGAUUUUUUUGGCUUUUAUUUCUUAGGUUCUAGUGGAAUGAAAAAAUUUGAAAUAAAAUUUCAGCUCAAAAAUUAAUGAUUAAAAAUAAAUUUAUAUCAAUUAAUAUAUAUACCUUGUAAAAAAAAUAUUAGAAAUUAAUCAACAAUAUUUACAUUUUAAA
RNAcentral lists this unclassified non-coding RNA (245 nucleotides) under Melitaea cinxia (Glanville fritillary). RNAcentral's name for it is "misc RNA ENSMCXG00005009705.1". The record is from RNAcentral. Lineage: Eukaryota; Metazoa; Arthropoda; Insecta; Lepidoptera; Nymphalidae.